This 226-nucleotide ribosomal RNA is filed under the name uncultured bacterium. RNAcentral's name for it is "partial 16S ribosomal RNA". It matches the Rfam family "Bacterial small subunit ribosomal RNA", at positions 28 to 252 of the family's 1533-position model. The record is from RNAcentral.
GAUUAACGCUAGCGGCAGGCCUAAUACAUGCAAGUCGAACGGUAAAUAGUGUAGCAAUACAUUAUGAGAGUGGCGCACGGGUGAGUAACGCGUAUGCAACCUACCUUUAACUGGGGGAUAGCCUUCCGAAAGGAAGAUUAAUACCGCAUAAAAUUAUGAAGUGGCAUCACUUUAUAAUCAAACUACCGGUGGUUAAAGAUGGGCAUGCGUGACAUUAGCUAGUUGG